Molecule: ribosomal RNA, 377 nt
Filed under: uncultured bacterium
Lineage: Bacteria
Description: bacterial SSU rRNA
Rfam family: Bacterial small subunit ribosomal RNA
Source: RNAcentral
AUUGAACGCUGGCGGCAGGCCUAACACAUGCAAGUCGAGCGGAUGAAGAGAGCUUGCUCUCUGAUUCAGCGGCGGACGGGUGAGUAAUGCCUAGGAAUCUGCCCUGGUAGUGGGGGACAACGUUUCGAAAGGAACGCUAAUACCGCAUACGUCCUACGGGAGAAAGCAGGGGACCUUCGGGCCUUGCGCUAUCAGAUGAGCCUAGGUCGGAUUAGCUAGUUGGUGAGGUAAUGGCUCACCAAAGGCGACGAUCCGUAACUGGUCUGAGAGAUGAUCAGUCACACUGGAACUGAGACACGGUCCAGACUCCUACGGGAGGCAGCAGUGGGAAUAUUGGACAAUGGGCGAAAGCCUGAUCCAGCAAUGCCGCGUGAGUG